Molecule: ribosomal RNA, 253 nt
Filed under: uncultured bacterium
Lineage: Bacteria
Description: partial 16S ribosomal RNA
Rfam family: Bacterial small subunit ribosomal RNA
Source: RNAcentral
UACGUAGGGUGCGAGCGUUAAUCGGAAUUACUGGGCGUAAAGCGUGCGCAGGCGGUUUUGUAAGCCAGAUGUGAAAUCCCCGGGCUUAACCUGGGAAUGGCAUUUGGGACUGCAAGGCUGGAGUUUGGCAGAGGAGACUGGAAUUCCUGGUGUAGCAGUGAAAUGCGUAGAUAUUGGGAAGAACACCAGUGGCGAAAGCGGACUUCUGGGUUGUUACUGACGCUGAGGUACGAAAGCGUGGGGAGCAAACGGG